GUGCAGCAGGCGCGAAAACUUUACAAUGCGGGAAAACCGUGAUAAGGGAACCUCGAGUGCUGGCGCAUAGCGUCGGCUGUCCAGAUGCCUAAAAAAGCAUCUGAUAGCAAGGGCCGGGCAAGACCGGUGCCAGCCGCCGCGGUAACACCGGCGGCUCGAGUGGUGGCCACGUUUAUUGGGUCUAAAGCGUCCGUAGCCGGCUCGGCAAGUCCCCUGGGAAAUCUGGCGGCUCAACCGUCAGGCGUCCAGAGGAUACUG
Molecule: ribosomal RNA, 258 nt
Filed under: uncultured microorganism
Description: partial 16S ribosomal RNA
Rfam family: Archaeal small subunit ribosomal RNA
Source: RNAcentral